This 709-nucleotide ribosomal RNA is filed under the name fungal sp. Its description in RNAcentral is "SSU rRNA". It matches the Rfam family "Eukaryotic small subunit ribosomal RNA", at positions 174 to 895 of the family's 1831-position model. The record is from RNAcentral. Lineage: Eukaryota; Fungi.
AAAACCCCGACUUCGGAAGGGGUGUGUUUAUUAGAUAAAAAACCAAUGCCCUUCGGGGCUCUUUGGUGAUUCAUGAUAACCUAACGGAUCGCAUGGCCUUGCGCCGGCGACGGUUCAUUCAAAUUUCUGCCCUAUCAACUUUCGAUGGUAAGGUAUUGGCUUACCAUGGUUUCAACGGGUAACGGGGAAUUAGGGUUCGAUUCCGGAGAGGGAGCCUGAGAAACGGCUACCACAUCCAAGGAAGGCAGCAGGCGCGCAAAUUACCCAAUCCCGACACGGGGAGGUAGUGACAAUAAAUACUGAUACAGGGCUCUUUUGGGUCUUGUAAUUGGAAUGAGUACAAUUUAAACCCCUUAACGAGGAACAAUUGGAGGGCAAGUCUGGUGCCAGCAGCCGCGGUAAUUCCAGCUCCAAUAGCGUAUAUUAAAGUUGUUGCAGUUAAAAAGCUCGUAGUUGAAACUUGGGUCUGGCUAGCGGGUCCGCCUCACCGCGUGCACUUGUCCGGCUGGACCUUUCCUUCUGGAGAACCUCAUGCCCUUCACUGGGUGUGUUGGGGAACCAGGACUUUUACUUUGAAAAAAUUAGAGUGUUCAAAGCAGGCCUUUGCUCGAAUACGUUAGCAUGGAAUAAUAGAAUAGGACGUGCGGUCCUAUUUUGUUGGUUUCUAGGAUCGCCGUAAUGAUUAAUAGGGAUAGUCGGGGGCAUCAGU